CAUGUAAACCGAAAUUAAUUUGCUGUUGUUUGAAUUGGGCAGAUGAAAGACAUGACAUGUGAAGAACUUGUAAAAGAAGUUGCUAAAAUAAUUUAUGUUGUACACGAUGAGGUCAAAGACAAAAACUUUGAACUGGAAUUAAGCUGGAUAGGAGAAGUUACCAACGGUAAACAUCAAUGGGUACCAAAGGAGAUAGCCGAGGCAGCUGAAAAAUAUGCUAAGGAAUCACUUGAAGAGGAAUCUAGUUCAGAAGACGAGGAUUAAGAUCAACGUUCACCGAGUUUUAUUGCACGAGCCUUACAAACAGGCAGCGUUUGAAACAGAGAAAGACUGAGAUCAAGACCUGUAGAGACCAUCGUCGCCUUGUCUAGCUUCAUUUCAUCAAUGUGAUGUUUGUGUAACAUAUUUUGUAGUAUUUUCAACCCUAGAAAUAAACAUUAAGAUUGGAAAUGUUUAAUUGCA
Molecule: long non-coding RNA, 462 nt
Organism: Orbicella faveolata
Lineage: Eukaryota; Metazoa; Cnidaria; Anthozoa; Scleractinia; Merulinidae
Source: RefSeq, a predicted model, not a curated record